UACGUAGGCAGCAAGCGUUGUUCGGAGUUACUGGGCGUAAAGGGCGCGUAGGCGGCGCGGAUAGUCGGCGGUGAAAGCCCGGAGCUCAACUCCGGGUCGGCCGUCGAUACUUCCGGGCUUGAGCACUGUAGAGGCAGAUGGAAUUCCGGGUGUAGCGGUGGAAUGCGUAGAGAUCCGGAAGAACACCGGUGGCGAAGGCGGUCUGCUGGGCAGUUGCUGACGCUGAUGCGCGACAGCGUGGGGAGCAAACGAG
This 253-nucleotide ribosomal RNA is filed under the name uncultured bacterium. RNAcentral describes it as "partial 16S ribosomal RNA". It matches the Rfam family "Bacterial small subunit ribosomal RNA", at positions 524 to 776 of the family's 1533-position model. The record is from RNAcentral.